Camelus ferus (Wild Bactrian camel) is the source of this 72-nucleotide transfer RNA. It matches the Rfam family "tRNA". From Rfam's summary of the family: Transfer RNA (tRNA) molecules are approximately 80 nucleotides in length. The record is from Rfam. NCBI's taxonomy places the organism in Eukaryota, Metazoa, Chordata, Mammalia, Artiodactyla, Camelidae.
GAGGGUAUAGCUCAGUGGUAGAGUGUGUGUUUAGCACGCAUGAGGUCCUGGGUUCAAUCCCCAAUACUUCUA